RNAcentral lists this ribosomal RNA (200 nucleotides) under uncultured bacterium. RNAcentral's name for it is "partial 16S ribosomal RNA". It matches the Rfam family "Bacterial small subunit ribosomal RNA", at positions 8 to 210 of the family's 1533-position model. The record is from RNAcentral.
AGAGUUUGAUCCUGGCUCAGGACGAACGCUGGCGGCGUGCUUAACACAUGCAAGUCGUGCGGAAAGGCCCUUCGGGGUGCUCGAGCGGCGAACGGGUGAGUAACACGUGAGCAACCUGCCCCUGGCUCUGGGAUAGCUCCGGGAAACCGGGAUUAAUACCGGAUGUGACUCGUGGAUGCAUGUCUGCGGGUGGAAAGGUU